This 1093-nucleotide ribosomal RNA is filed under the name Limosilactobacillus panis. RNAcentral's name for it is "bacterial SSU rRNA". It matches the Rfam family "Bacterial small subunit ribosomal RNA", at positions 44 to 1026 of the family's 1533-position model. Lineage: Bacteria; Bacillati; Bacillota; Bacilli; Lactobacillales; Lactobacillaceae. The record is from RNAcentral.
UUGCUAUACAUGCAGUCGAGCGCACUGGCCCAACUGAUAUGACGUGCUUGCACUGAUUUGACGAUGGAUUACCAGUGAGCGGCGGACGGGUGAGUAACACGUGGGCAACCUGCCCUGGAGCGGGGGAUAACAUUUGGAAACAGGUGCUAAUACCGCAUAACUACCAAAACCACAUGGUUUUCAUAUCAAAGAUGGUUUCGGCUAUCACUUUAGGAUGGGCCCGCGGUGCAUUAGCUAGUUGGUAGGGUAACGGCCUACCAAGGCAAUGAUGCAUAGCCGAGUUGAGAGACUGAUCGGCCACAAUGGAACUGAGACACGGUCCAUACUCCUACGGGAGGCAGCAGUAGGGAAUCUUCCACAAUGGGCGCAAGCCUGAUGGAGCAACACCGCGUGAGUGAAGAAGGGUUUCGGCUCGUAAAACUCUGUUGUUGAAGAAGAACGUGCAUGAGAGUAACUGUUCAUGCAGUGACGGUAUUCAACCAGAAAGUCACGGCUAACUACGUGCCAGCAGCCGCGGUAAUACGUAGGUGGCAAGCGUUAUCCGGAUUUAUUGGGCGUAAAGCGAGCGCAGGCGGUUGCUUAAGUCUGAUGUGAAAGCCUUCGGCUUAACCGAAGAAGUGCAUCGGAAACCGGGCGACUUGAGUGCAGAAGAGGACAGUGGAACUCCAUGUGUAGCGGUGGAAUGCGUAGAUAUAUGGAAGAACACCAGUGGCGAANGCGGCUGUCUGGUCUGCAACUGACGCUGAGGCUCGAAAGCAUGGGUAGCGAACAGGAUUAGAUACCCUGGUAGUCCAUGCCGUAAACGAUGAGUGCUAGGUGUUGGAGGGUUUCCGCCCCUCAGUGCCGCAGCUAACACAUUAAGCACUCCUCCUGGGAGAGUACGACCGCAAGGUUGAUACUCAUAUGAAGUGAACAGACGCGCGGCACAAGCAGUGCAGCAUGUGAUUACUUCGAUCUACGCCGANAAUCUUACCGAGUCUUGGGUCGUAANCUGGCCUANNNGANAAAGAUUACGCUNGGNNUCCAUGCACCAANGACGAGUUGUNNNCGNGCACAAACCUUUCNUACAAGNCUGACGAGUNUGUUUNCNUCA